ACGGGAGGCAGCAGUGGGGAAUAUUGCACAAUGGGCGAAAGCCUGAUGCAGCGACGCCGCGUGAGUGAAGAAGUAUUUCGGUAUGUAAAGCUCUAUCAGCAGGGAAGAAAAAUGACGGUACCUGACUAAGAAGCACCGGCUAAAUACGUGCCAGCAGCCGCGGUAAUACGUAUGGUGCAAGCGUUAUCCGGAUUUACUGGGUGUAAAGGGAGCGCAGGCGGUACGGCAAGUCUGAUGUGAAAGCCCGGGGCUCAACCCCGGUACUGCAUUGGAAACUGUCGAACUAGAGUGACGGAGGGGUAAGCGGAAUUCCUAGUGUAGCGGUGAAAUGCGUAGAUAUUAGGAGGAACACCAGUGGCGAAGGCGGCUUACUGGACGAUAACUGACGCUGAGGCUCGAAAGCGUGGGGAGCAAACAGGAUUAGAUACCCUGGUA
RNAcentral lists this ribosomal RNA (435 nucleotides) under uncultured Lachnospiraceae bacterium. RNAcentral's name for it is "partial 16S ribosomal RNA". It matches the Rfam family "Bacterial small subunit ribosomal RNA", at positions 341 to 792 of the family's 1533-position model. Lineage: Bacteria; Bacillati; Bacillota; Clostridia; Lachnospirales; Lachnospiraceae. The record is from RNAcentral.